AGUGGUCGAACGCAAACAAGGUCACCGCGAAUGCCAUCUGAGCUCCUCUCGACGCACCUUGCCCACUAUCGUGCACGCAUCCACCAGCGUUCAGCACGCUUUGUUUUUUUUUUCUUUUUCUGCCGCGUCUCGUCCCCCUGCUCGCACUGGCGUUUUGCGUUUGUGUGUGGCCGCAGUGGCAUCAGCCACCGCCCCUUCUGUGCUCUUGUCGAGUGUGCGUCUCUUCUUCCAAGCACGUUCGUCUGUAAGCGCGUGUCAAUGUGGGUCCGUGCUGUACACAGAGGCACGACAUGUGCGGUGAGGGUGGUGCGUGCGUACGUGCUGCUCCAACUCCCCUCGCGCACGAGUGUGCCGGGAACACAUUGGCUUUGUGGAUACGUCUCCACCGCGAGGGACUGCCAUGGCCACGAACACACCGGCAACGGCAAACGAUAAGGUGACGUGAGACACAAUGAAAGGAGCAACGACAAAAAGAAGAAGGCGUCUAAGGCAGAAGUCUGCGUGGGUCAACAAAGGAGAUCAGCACAGUACGGUGCGGACGCACGAAGACACGCACACAUAGGAACAGCACAGCCGUUGGGUAUUUGCACUGCCGAGUCUUUGCACUCACCGCGCUCUGCUUUCC
This 625-nucleotide unclassified non-coding RNA is filed under the name Leishmania donovani. RNAcentral describes it as "gene:unknown". Lineage: Eukaryota; Euglenozoa; Kinetoplastea; Trypanosomatida; Trypanosomatidae. The record is from RNAcentral.